AUAAAGUUUUAUUUUUACUUAAAAAAAUAGUGUAAUAAGGAAAAUAUAUGUAAAUUUUUUUAAAAAAAUUUAAAUAAUUAUAAUGGAUUACAGUAUAUAAUUUUAAUUAUUAAAGAAAUUUAGAAUUAGUUAUUUUUUAUAGUAUAAACAAAUUUUGUGCCAGCAGUUGCGGUUAUACAUAAUAUACAUCUAUUUUAAAUAAAUUUUUAAAUAAAUUGAUUAUUUUUAUUAAAUUAAAAUUAUAUUAAGUGAAAUUUUAUAGUUUUAAUUAUUAAUUAGAAAUAUUGAAUUAAUAAAUUUAUUGUUAGACUAGGAUUAGAUACCCUAUUAUUAAAAAUGUAAAAUUUAUAAUUAAAUUAGUAUUAGUUAAGUUCUUGAAAAUUAAAAAAUUUGGCGGUAUAAUAGACUAUUUAGAGGAACCUGUUUUUUAAUUGAUAUUCCACGUUUAAUUUUACUUAUUUUAUUAAUUUGUAUAUCGUCGUAGUUGAAUAUUUUUAUAGAAAUUUAAUAUUCAAUUUUUUUUUAAAAAAAAUAAAUCAGAUCAAGAUGCAGUUUAUAAAUAAGAUUUAAUGGGUUACAAUAAAUUUAUUUAAAUGGAUUAAUAAUUUAAUAUAUUAUUAUGAAAGUGGAUUUGAAUGUAAUUUUAAUUAUUUUAUUAAAAUGAUUUAGCUCUAUAAUAUGCACAUAUUGCCCGUCGCUCUCUUUAUAUAUAGAGAUAAGUCGUAACAUAGUAGAGGUACUGGAAAGUGUUUCUAGAUUUAG
This 762-nucleotide non-coding RNA is filed under the name Leiodidae sp. BMNH 1274772. The record is from RNAcentral. Lineage: Eukaryota; Metazoa; Arthropoda; Insecta; Coleoptera; Leiodidae.